Molecule: unclassified non-coding RNA, 235 nt
Filed under: plant metagenome
Description: partial contains small subunit ribosomal RNA, internal transcribed spacer 1, and 5.8S ribosomal RNA
Rfam family: 5.8S ribosomal RNA (bases 187-235)
Source: RNAcentral
UCUCCGUUGGUGGACCAGCGGAGGGAUCAUUACUGAGUUUACAACUCCCAACCCAUGUGAACAUACCUUUUGUUGCUUCGGCGGGAUGCCCCCGGCGCCUAGUGUGCCCGGGAAUCAGGCCCCCGCCGGAGGACCCAAACUCUUGUUUUUCUAUAGAACUUCUGAGUGGAUUAUUUUAAUAAUUAAAACUUUCAACAACGGAUCUCUUGGUUCUGGCAUCGAUGAAGAAUGCAGC